AGGUGUGAUCAUACCAGCACUAAUGAACCGGAUCCCAUCAAAACUCCGCAGUGAAGCAAGAUUGGGCGAGAGUAGUACUAGGAUGGGUGACCUCCUUGCAAGUCCUCGUCUUGCACCUU
This 119-nucleotide ribosomal RNA is filed under the name Vigna radiata var. radiata (mung bean). The record is from RNAcentral. Lineage: Eukaryota; Viridiplantae; Streptophyta; Magnoliopsida; Fabales; Fabaceae.